CAGCCUCUCUUUUUUUCCGACGUUUCCAUAAGAACUAGACGAAAAGGGGCCGUGCAGCACGCUUUACCAUAUAUUAUUACGCUUGAAUAAACGGCCUUGUAUUAUACCUUAUCCGCCUUGUCCAGAGUCUCAACUUGGUCUCGUUUCUCAUAUAGUUAUUCAUCAACACUAUUUUAUUUUGUAUUUUCGUGGAAAAGAUGUCUAAAUAUUUUUGAGCAGCUGUUAGGGUAGGCAUGGAGGGUCUUCAAGAUGCAAUUAAACACCAGUUGCCUGAGUUAGAGACUGAGAUGGUGAGAUCUUUGUUGGUGUAUCUUAGGGCAAAUGUUGGAGUGGAGAAUAUUAACACCCUUGAAUAUGUUCAGCCGGAGGACAUGAAAUACCAUUUGACGCCAAUACAGUGCCGGGAAUUGCUUCAGUCCUUCAACCAAAGAGGAAAUUAUGAAUGGAUAGGAUCUGUAACAAUGGAUAGGACACAUGUCCUCCUCCGAGCAUCAGUGACCUCCAGGAACAGUGGCCUUUCCUUUUCUCCAACUUAUGGCUCUGCGACCACUUCAAUACUCGUGAUUGACAGCCACCUGACUCAAGCUCUCCUGAACAAAGGGACAGAUAAUUGUCUACUUUUUUAAAAGCCAAAAGACCAAGUUGAGCAGAGAGAUCCGGUGCCUGCUAAAUGAAACCGACAGUUACAAAAAGGCGAUGACGAUCUAACAGCCACUGCUGCCAUUCUUUUGUUGAUGACCCACUUCAAAGAGAAGGACACAUCUCUGUUCCUCUUGGCAGAUGUAAGGAAUAGUGUUUUUAUAUUUAUAGUUUCCAUAUGGACAAUGACCGCAAGCAUACUUCCAAAGUUGUUGCAAAAUGGCUUAAGGACAACAAAGUGAAGGUAUUGGAGUGGCCAUCACAAAGCCCUGACCUCAAUCCUAUAGAAAAUGUGUGGGCAGAACUGAAAAAGCAUGUGCGAGCAAGGAGGCCUGCAAACCUGACUCUGUUACACCAGCUCUGUCAGGAGGAAUGGGCCAAUAGUCACCCAACUUAUUGUGGGACGCUUGUGGAAGGCUACCCGAAACGUUUGACUCAGGUUAAACAAUUGAAAGGUCACUGCAUCUCGGGUUGAUGUCAAGGAGCAAAUUCCUUUGCCAGACACACCAAGGCUGAUCAUGCUUGGAAAUACUCUAUUGGGUUCCUCAAAAUGGAUCAAGGGGAGAGGGGUCUGUGUUUUGGACAGUGCAACUUUGCUGCUGCCCUCUGUGCUCUUCAGCACUUUCUAUGUUUUUAACAUAGAAUAACAGGAGUCGGCCUCUGCAACCUUGGAGCUGAUACAGAGUAGCUACUAUCUUGUCUCAUCGCUACAACUCCCGUACGGACUCGGUCCUCCGAUACACAACCCAACCAAGCCGCACUGCUUCUUAACACAGUGCCAUCCAACCCGGAAGCCAGCCGCACCGUGCACCUGGCAACCUUGGUUAGUGCGCACUGUGACCAUCCCUAACCCAGGCGACGCAAGGCCAAUUGUGCGUCGCUCCAAGGACCUCCCAGUCGUGGCCGGUUAACCCAGAGUCUCUGGUGACCCAGCUGGUGCUGCAGUACAGCGCCCUUAACCACUGCGCCCUUAACCACUGAAGGAACCAAAUGCACAGCGAAAGCAGGAGUGAGCUGCAAAACUGGAAAGGUCAUUCAGAGGAAGCCAUUGCCAAUUGGCCAAAAUGUUACACGCUUUCUCGCAGACCUGAAGGAGUUUGAGUGGAAAAACUCCAACACUUGACAUAUCAGAGGAUCAGAGGAGGAUCAGAGUUUCAAAAAUUGGGGUGAUAACCUGCACGCCACUGAGAUUUAUUCGACUUGUUUGCAUCUCUCAUUAUCUCAGAAAUCCUGCCAUGUGGGCUGGGUCAGCAAAUGAUCUGCUUGCUCCAUCCCGGAGCCUGUGUUGGCUUGAGGUAGCAUGCUACUCUGGCUCUAGUCUAGCCCUGCUUUCUCCUCUCUAUCCAUCCUUCUCUCUCAGCCCUUUCCUCUCUCGAUCUCUCUCGUUUCUCUCUCAAAGACAGGUAGGCAAGCAGUUCUUGUUAUAAUUUUUUGUAAAAAUGUCCCACUGUUCAACUGUUUCCCUAUUUUUCAUUGAUCUGUUUAGAUUUUUUUUUCUUUCUUACAUAAUCCUGUAUUGUCAAGAAUGACCUAUUCUGAUGUCUUGGUCUGUGUAUGGUGAAGUACAUUAUUGACCAGUAUUUGUCAAUGUUCUUAUCAUUGUAUCGCUCUCUGUCUCUCUCUCCCCUAUCUGGAGUUGUAAAUGUUGCUCUUUUCAAAUGUUGUUCUUUGCGGUUAAAGUGCAAUUCAUGUGAAAUUCAUGUUAUGAAUUUGAAUAAAUAUAUAUAUUUGUA
Molecule: long non-coding RNA, 2372 nt
Organism: Oncorhynchus keta (chum salmon)
Lineage: Eukaryota; Metazoa; Chordata; Actinopteri; Salmoniformes; Salmonidae
Exons: 7
Source: RefSeq, a predicted model, not a curated record